UUCUGCUUAGUAAAUAAUAAUAAAAUGGUGAAAAAGUUCGUUAACAGUUUAGGGAAGAGAGUAUAAUUUAUUGGCGAGUAGGUCAAAGAAGGGGUAAUAAAUAUUUUAGAUUUAAGAUCGAGUAGAGACUGGAUUGCUCGUCUGGUAAUGACUAAGCUGAUUAAAACUCCAACUGGUUGUCCCGCUCGUUCUGCCAUGAUUGCCAAAACCCGAGAGACGAACCUGGAAUCUCUGUCUGAAAUACUGCUAGACGACACUCCAAACAACUGAACCACUUCUUUGAUGUAGAGUUGAACCAAUCCUGACGCUGGCUUCUCAAAC
Molecule: long non-coding RNA, 321 nt
Filed under: Vigna radiata
Lineage: Eukaryota; Viridiplantae; Streptophyta; Magnoliopsida; Fabales; Fabaceae
Description: long non-coding RNA (VRAD_LNC003263)
Source: RNAcentral